RNAcentral lists this ribosomal RNA (516 nucleotides) under uncultured Bacteroidota bacterium. RNAcentral's name for it is "bacterial SSU rRNA". It matches the Rfam family "Bacterial small subunit ribosomal RNA", at positions 371 to 882 of the family's 1533-position model. Lineage: Bacteria; Pseudomonadati; Bacteroidota. The record is from RNAcentral.
AUGGAGGCACUCUGAAUGCAGACCAUUGGCCGCGUGGCAGGAUGACGGCCCUAUGGGGUGGUAAACUGCUUUUAUGGUGAGGAAGAAACACUCUCACGUGUGAGAGCUUGACGGUACUACAAGAAUAAGGACCGGCUAACUCCGUGCCAGCAGCCGCGGUAAUACGGAGGGUCCAAGCGUUAUCCGGAAUCAUUGGGUUUAAAGGGUCCGUAGGCGGGCUAUUAAGUCAGAGGUGAAAGUUUGCAGCUCAACUGUAAAAUUGCCUUUGAAACUGGUAGUCUUGAAUUAUUAUGAAGUGGUUAGAAUAAGUAGUGUAGCGGUGAAAUGCAUAGAUAUUACUUAGAAUACCAAUUGCGAAGGCAGAUCACUAAUAAUAUAUUGACGCUGAGGGACGAAAGCGUGGGGAGCGAACAGGAUUAGAUACCCUGGUAGUCCACGCCGUAAACGAUGGAUACUAGCUGUUCGGAUUUAUCUGAGUGGCUAAGCGAAAGUGAUAAGUAUCCCACCUGGGGAGUA